RNAcentral lists this transfer-messenger RNA (371 nucleotides) under Flavobacteriales. Its description in RNAcentral is "UBA7312 sp902580855 Standard tmRNA". It matches the Rfam family "transfer-messenger RNA". From Rfam's summary of the family: Bacterial tmRNA, also known as 10Sa RNA or SsrA, is named for its dual tRNA and mRNA-like properties. RNAcentral also lists the same sequence under 1 other name. Lineage: Bacteria; Pseudomonadati; Bacteroidota; Flavobacteriia. The record is from RNAcentral.
GGGGCUGACUGGUUUUGACAGCAAGAGUAAUGAAACCGUAAGCAUGUCGAGCAUUGUAUUUUGGCUCGUAAAUAUCAAAUUACAACCUUUUUAAAUGGCGAGUAUAACUACGCUAUGGCUGCCUAAUUAGAGUAAUUAGGACGCCUUUGCUUCCGAACAAGAGAGAGCUCAAAGCUCUAGUUUUUUGAAGCAUCAGAUAAAGUUUGAGCUAGCAACUUAGCGCUUCGGCUAAGAAGCGAAACUAAAGAAGAUACGGUUGGAGUUAGGUUGUGUUUUCCCUUACCCUUCCCGACAAUUAAAAAACAAUAAACAUGUAGAAAGCGCUUUGAUUCCUUGUUUGGACGCGAGUUCGAUUCUCGCCAGCUCCACAA